UUUGUUACUUCAAACCAAUCGGACUUCGGUCUGACAUCAAGUGAUAUUGAACAAUUUAGCUGAUCGCACGGUCUAAGAACCGGCGACAUAUCCUUCAAAUGUCUGCCUUAUCAACUUUCGAUGGUAGAUUAUGCGCCUACCAUGGUUGUAACGGGUAACGGAGAAUCAGGGUUUGAUUCCGGAGAGGGAGCCUGAGAAACGGCUACCACAUCCAAGGAAGGCAGCAGGCACGCAAAUUACCCACUCCCGGCACGGGGAGGUAGCGACGAAAAAUAACAAGCUGGUCUCAAUGAGUUCCAGCAUUGUAAUGGGAACAAUUUAAAUCUUUUAUCGAGGAUCUAUUGGAGGGCAAGUCUGGUGCCAGCAGCCGCGGUAAUUCCAGCUCCAAUAGCGUAUAUUAAAGUUGUUGCGGUUAAAAAGCUCGUAGUUGGAUUUCUGCCGAGGACGACCGGUCCGCCCUCUGGGUGUGCAUCUGGCUCGACCUGGGCAUCUUCUUGGAGAACGCUGCUGCACUUGACUGUGUGGCACGGUAUCCAGGACUUUUACUUWGAGGAAAUUAGAGUGCUUCAAGCAGGC
RNAcentral lists this ribosomal RNA (576 nucleotides) under uncultured eukaryote. RNAcentral's name for it is "bacterial SSU rRNA". It matches the Rfam family "Eukaryotic small subunit ribosomal RNA", at positions 205 to 796 of the family's 1831-position model. The record is from RNAcentral.